Molecule: ribosomal RNA, 465 nt
Filed under: Vreelandella stevensii
Lineage: Bacteria; Pseudomonadati; Pseudomonadota; Gammaproteobacteria; Oceanospirillales; Halomonadaceae
Description: partial 16S ribosomal RNA
Rfam family: Bacterial small subunit ribosomal RNA
Source: RNAcentral
CCUACGGGUGGCAGCAGUGGGGAAUAUUGGACAAUGGGCGAAAGCCUGAUCCAGCCAUGCCGCGUGUGUGAAGAAGGCCUUCGGGUUGUAAAGCACUUUCAGUGGGGAAGAAAGCCUUGGGGCUAAUACCCUCGAGGAAGGACAUCACCCACAGAAGAAGCACCGGCUAACUCCGUGCCAGCAGCCGCGGUAAUACGGAGGGUGCGAGCGUUAAUCGGAAUUACUGGGCGUAAAGCGCGCGUAGGCGGUCUGAUAAGCCGGUUGUGAAAGCCCCGGGCUCAACCUGGGAACGGCAUCCGGAACUGUCAGGCUAGAGUGCAGGAGAGGAAGGUAGAAUUUCCGGUGUAGCGGUGAAAUGCGUAGAGAUCGGGAGGAAUACCAGUGGCGAAGGCGGCCUUCUGGACUGACACUGACGCUGAGGUGCGAAAGCGUGGGUAGCAAACAGGAUUAGAUACCCGGGUAGUC